UGGAAGCGUCCAGCAGGAAGAAUUCUUCAUUAACACACACAGGAAAGCCGAGCUCUCCUUGUCGCUGGUCCUCAGCUGACCAACGCUAAGCAAUUCACAGGCAGCGUCAUUUCAUCAACGCGCUCCCGUUGCACUCCGGACAUUCGGCCUGGA
Molecule: long non-coding RNA, 153 nt
Filed under: Sus scrofa (pig)
Lineage: Eukaryota; Metazoa; Chordata; Mammalia; Artiodactyla; Suidae
Description: lncRNA (ENSSSCG00045002214.1)
Source: RNAcentral